RNA transcript from Leopardus geoffroyi (Geoffroy's cat), 2034 nucleotides. It is a transcript of the gene named chromosome B1 C4orf36 homolog, with no coding region annotated. The transcript is spliced from 5 exons. NCBI's taxonomy places the organism in Eukaryota, Metazoa, Chordata, Mammalia, Carnivora, Felidae. The record is from RefSeq and is a predicted model, not a curated record.
GCGCGGCCCGCAGCUCGGGCGCCAGCGGGAAGGAGGCGUGUGCCCGCGGCGCGGGCCCGCUGGUGCGCGCGGCCAUGAGCGCCUAGUCGGGCGCGUGCUCCGCCCUCCGUCCGCGGGGGAACGCAACCCCCGAGACCCGCAAGCGCCGGCAGAGUGAACAGAACACUGCAGUCAUAACAUCAGGCACCUAUGUGAGGAAAUUGGACUGUGAUAAUUCACCAUGGCUUAUGGCUUGCCAAGAAAGAACACAGUGAAAACCAUAUUGCGGGGCGGUUGUUUUAAAGUACAGGAACCUUGGGAUCUUGCACUGCUUACAAAGACCUGGUACAUGAACCUAGCCAACAUCAAAUUGCCUUUCUUGGAAGAAAUUACAUUUGGUAGUCCUUUUUACCUCCAAAAAAAUAAAACCACUAAGAGUGCUCUGCUCCCUUCUGCAGAAUCCAUCAAACUUGAAAGGGAGUAUGAGAUGAAGCGCUUGAAAAACCUGAAAUGUCAGAAAAUCCUAGCUGAGGAAGUUCAGUUUUCUCUAAGGGAAAGGCAAGUUGGUUUGAGAAGACCCCUUCCACCUAAGUGACCAUCAUCUCAUAAUUGAAUCUGUACUCUGAGCUUUCCACAUCCAAAGGCAAUGAAGGUCUCCAGCCUUUCACAGUGUGAAGUUUGGUGCAGACAUGAGUACCCACUGGUGGAUGAACCAGCUCCUGUGGGUUGAUGGACAGCUCUGACAGAUCUUCUGUGUCCCUACCACAUACUUGUUUCUUUGUGUCACAAGCAACAACACUACCUUAUUAUGUGGAAAACUCUUAUUUGCAGAAGGGCUAGAGAAUGGGGAACUGAUCAGCUGGAAAAUAUUGGACUUGUGUGAACCAAUUUUCCUAGAAUUUGAAUCCAUUAAGGCACGCUUGGAUAUCAAAGUUAUAUUUAAGCACAAUUUAGUGUUCGUUAGAUGAAUCAAAGCAUACUUAGGGGGCCAUAAUACACCCCUGUGGGCCCACAGUUUGACUUCUUAACUAGGGAAUUAUAUCUGGUGGUUGCUGUUUGACAAUAUUUGGAAGCUGUUGUCUGAAUUAUCUUCAGAUACUUUCUUCUACCUAUGAUAUGGUGGCUCACAUGAAGGUCAUUUGUUUUCAGAAGUGUGUCAGUGACCCAUUUGAUUUAGUGAUCCUCAGGCCUGGAAAAAGCUGUCUGUAUGUAGUCUUGAGGAGGUGGAACUGCCACAUUCCUGGUUAGAUUUGCUUAACAAAAUUCAGAUGUGCUUCAUGUAAGAUGCUUAGCUGCCAACCAGAGCCACUCCCAAAGUUUCUUGGCUGAGUGUGUGGGAUUUUCACUUUGUUACCCAGUUGUACCACGUAUCUCCCCUUUUUUCCACAUCUGUUCUCUCCGCUUGUUCUUUCUUCCAUUUGACUAGUUUUUGUCCCCCUUCCACCAAUGUUAUUAUCAUAAAUAUGGCAGCUGAGUUGCUGACUGCUUAAAAUGUGGAAAAUACCACUUUAUAAUUUCUCAACCAAAGACCAGUCUUAGGCAAAAAGUCAGUGUAUUUCUAUUUCUUUAGAAAUCAAAAUCAAUUCAUUAUUUUCUUUAAAAAAAUAAUCACAUCCAGCUGUAUCAACAUAUGUUUUGGAUAGUAAUGGGAUUAAUUGCAUGUUUAUUUUUGUAGUUCACAUCCCAUGGAGUAGUUUGUGUACUUUCCCUUUUAGGGUCACUGUUACUAAUUCAUCUAGACUGGAGAUAACACCUCAAAUAGUUUCUUUGAAAACUAGAAAUAUUUUUCAAUCUAUAGCCCACAAUUCUACUGCACACUGUAUCUAACAUUGUUGCUAUUAGUAAGUUUUAAUUUCUUAAAAGUCAUAUUUAUGUAGAUAGGAGUAGAAAGUUAAGUAGUAGUAAGUAGUAGAAAGAAAGCUGUAGGUUUUAGUUAAUAGAUCUGGGUUCUAGUCCCCUCCCUUUCUUUCCCUGAUUCAUCAGGUAUCCUUGAGAAACCUUUUUUUUUUGUAGAAGUUUAUUUAUUUUGAUAGAGAGUGAGUGGGGGAGGGACAG